This is a long non-coding RNA of Rosa chinensis, 1195 nucleotides long. RefSeq lists it as uncharacterized. NCBI's taxonomy places the organism in Eukaryota, Viridiplantae, Streptophyta, Magnoliopsida, Rosales, Rosaceae. The transcript has 4 exons. The record is from RefSeq and is a predicted model, not a curated record.
UUCGUGAAACUUACAGGGCAUGCUAAAACCCACUUGACCGUUUCUUCUCCUCCCCAAACUCCGGUUUUCAUUUCCUGCAAUUCUCCAGUUUCGCAGUUUGCUUCUAAAACAGACUCAAAGUUUGUGAAAGGUUUUAGUUGAUAAACCAAAGCAUGUUUUACUCACUGUGCCUCUUAUCAAGAAAAGGGCGUUUAGGCUCCAUAUGAGCUGCUGCUUAUUGUUUCAAAAAGCUCAAGAAGGCCCAGGUCACUGAAACUGACAUCUCAGCCUCUAUUGAUAAAAUUUUGAAGGAUGAUUGGGAUGUCAUCGCAUAUAGGGUACUGGCCUACCUUCUUCUUGGUGUUGUUCGGAUAUACUCCAAAAAAGUUGAAUACCUUUUUGAUGUCUGCCAUGAGGUGCUAACUGAAAUCAACAAGUUUGUCGUUAGCACAAAAGAGAAGGGAGACACAGAUACGUUUCUUGCACCUUAGGACUCUGUUACUCUACCGGAGAGGUUUGAACUUGAUGCAUUUGAUUAGGGGAUCCCUGAAGAUGUCAGUGGGGGAAAUGUAGUAUCCUACGAAGCUAUCACGCUUAAAGUGUACUUUCAUUUGACGGGAUGGAAUUGGAUAUGGAGUUAAGGACGUCGAGGAUUGGAGCUAACCCAGAAGUAAACAUGGAGAAUCCUCAAGAGAGUAGGUUCUCUCAAGAAGAAAGUAAUGGAGAACAGAUAAAGGUUCCGGAUAUAGCAUUGUCUGAAGAUGGGACUCUAAUAGAAGCAAGGCAGGAAAAGAGGAAAAAGGUCUGAACCAUUUGGUGAAGAUCACGAAACCAAUGGGGAGCAAAUAAACGCUCCUGCUGUAGUCCAAUCUGUUGAUGGAAUUCAAGAAGAAGCAAGCAUGGAACUUCCUGUCAUGUUACAUCAUCUAGUGAAAGUCACCACAUUAUUCGAGAGGAGAUUAUCAUGCAAUCAGAAAACCAGAUGUGUCCAGUUACAAGAGAAGACCACAAUCUAAGCAACUUGAAAGCCGACAGGGGAAACCUGACAAGUUGUACAUACACCUGCUCAAGAAGAGAACUGAUAAGUCUUGUGACUUAAAGAAACCUCAAAAAACCUGUUUGUUCAUAUGAGGAAGAGACAACAAAGUUACAGGACACGAUUGUUUGUUCAUAAGGAUGGAGAGCCAACAAAGUUACAGGACACGAUUCCACCAGA